UCCCGGACAAAUGUCUGGGUUGCCCGCCCCUAGAGCAGGCCCUGAUUAUGACCAUUUCCAAUAGUUAUUUGGGUCUUAUCUGAAAAAAUAAGUGUUACAUUUUUCUACAGACCAGUUUUGAUAUGUUUUGGCCCAUUGGAGGCAUUUUUCUUCUAUGUUGCUUCAUCAUGUAUGGCCUUGUUUUAUCUUACAGAAACAAAAACGCAUGUUCUUUAGUCUGUUUCACAGAGUUUUGUUGGAAACAUCAAACCCUUCUUUCUUCCACUCUAUAUUGAUGACUCAACCUUUUUUCAUUUUCAUGGCCACUCUUGAGUCUUGCUCCUUUUACAUGUAUGCCCACUUCUCAGCACAUUUGUAAGACCACCUGAUGUUUGGAAGGUUUUCCGUGACCUCCUGAUUGUUCCAUGAUUGUACCCUAUUAUUGUUGGGACUUCAUUUUGUGUUUUUCAGUCUUUCAACAGUUGGAUCAUCAACUCCCACUUCUCAAUUUUCAGCUCUUUGUUAGGUGCCAUUCUGUCUAAUUGGAUGCUUUUUCAUUUACCAACUUCAAUUUAUAGCUGAAUCCAGCUGUCAAACAUUUUGGUAUGCAAAUUGGAAUGAACAGUGUUCCAAUCAGAUCAUAAAUAUCUUUUCAUUAUGGAAAAAUUUUUCCCAUUAUUUUCAUUAUGCAAUAUUUUUUCUGAAGUGAGGUUUUCUUUAAAUAUUCAUUCUUUGUU
This 716-nucleotide long non-coding RNA is filed under the name Androctonus crassicauda. The record is from RNAcentral. Lineage: Eukaryota; Metazoa; Arthropoda; Arachnida; Scorpiones; Buthidae.